GCUGGCGGCACGCCUAACACAUGCAAGUCGAACGAAGUAGCAAUACUUAGUGGCAGACGGGUGAGUAACAUGUGGGUAUCUACCCUUUGGCCUGGAAUAACACGAGGAAACUUGUGCUAAUACUGGAUAAGUCUUUACGGAGAAAGCUUUAUGCACCAUUGGAUGAGCCCGCACUUGAUUAGUUUGUUGGUGGGGUAAUGGCCUACCAAGACUUUGAUCAAUAGCUGAUUUGAGAGGAUGAUCAGCCACAUUGGGACUGAGACACGGCCCAAACUCCUACGGGAGGCAGCAGUGGGGAAUCUUGCACAAUGGAGGAAACUCUGAUGCAGCGAUGCCGCGUGAGUGAAGAAGGCCCUUGGGUUGUAAAGCUCUUUCGUCGGGGAAGAAAAUGACUGUACCCGAAUAAGAAGGUCCGGCUAACUUCGUGCCAGCAGCCGCGGUAAUACGAAGGGACCUAGCGUAGUUCGGAAUUACUGGGCUUAAAGAGUUCGUAGGUGGUUGAAAAAGUUGGUGGUGAAAUCCCAGAGCUUAACUCUGGAACUGCCAUCAAAACUUUUCAGCUAGAGUUUGAUAGAGGAAAGCAGAAUUUCUAGUGUAGAGGUGAAAUUCGUAGAUAUUAGAAAGAAUACCAAUUGCGAAGGCAGCUUUCUGGAUCAUUACUGACGCUGAGGAACGAAAGCAUGGGUAGCGAAGAGGAUUAGAUACCCUCGUAGUCCAUGCUGUAAACGAUGUGUGUUAGACGUUGGAAAUUUAUUUUCAGUGUCGCAGCGAAAGCGAUAAACACACCGCCUGGGGAGUACGACCG
This 805-nucleotide ribosomal RNA is filed under the name uncultured Pelagibacteraceae bacterium. Its description in RNAcentral is "bacterial SSU rRNA". It matches the Rfam family "Bacterial small subunit ribosomal RNA", at positions 35 to 888 of the family's 1533-position model. Lineage: Bacteria; Pseudomonadati; Pseudomonadota; Alphaproteobacteria; Candidatus Pelagibacterales; Candidatus Pelagibacteraceae. The record is from RNAcentral.